This 567-nucleotide ribosomal RNA is filed under the name Syngnathus leptorhynchus (bay pipefish). RNAcentral's name for it is "partial large subunit ribosomal RNA". It matches the Rfam family "Bacterial large subunit ribosomal RNA", at positions 1817 to 2597 of the family's 2925-position model. Lineage: Eukaryota; Metazoa; Chordata; Actinopteri; Syngnathiformes; Syngnathidae. The record is from RNAcentral.
CGCCUCUUGCAUUCUAUGUAUAGGAGGUCCCGCCUGCCCUGUGACUAUAUGUUUAACGGCCGCGGUAUUUUGACCGUGCAAAGGUAGCGCAAUCACUUGUCUUUUAAAUAAAGACCUGUAUGAAUGGCAUGACGAGGGCUUAACUGUCUCCUUCUCCCGGUCAAUGAAAUUGAUCUCCCCGUGCAGAAGCGGGGAUAUUAUUAUAAGACGAGAAGACCCUGUGGAGCUUUAAAUGAUGAGAGAUUUUAUGCAACAAACCUAAAAAGGUAUAAGCGAAUUUAUACUCCCUCUAAUAUUUUUGGUUGGGGCGACCGCGGAGUAAAAAGAAACCUCCGUGAGGAAUGAGGUAAUUAACCUUAAAUCCCAGAACGACAAUUCAAAGAAACAAAAUUUUUGACCUAAAGAUCCGGCAAAGCCGAUCAACGAACCUAGUUACCCCAGGGAUAACAGCGCAAUCCCCUUCAAGAGUCCCUAUCGACAAGGGGGUUUACGACCUCGAUGUUGGAUCAGGAUAUCCUAAUGGUGUAGCCGCUAUUAAGGGUUCGUUUGUUCAACGAUUAAAAUCCU